AGAGUAGAUUUUCGUGCGUUAAGUGUCGGGCGGACGGGGAGUUGCCGCUCGAACGAAAGUUAAAAACUGCGGUACGAAAAUCGCAUCCCGCU
This 92-nucleotide non-coding RNA is filed under the name bovine gut metagenome. Its description in RNAcentral is "THF riboswitch". It matches the Rfam family "THF (Tetrahydrofolate) riboswitch aptamer". From Rfam's summary of the family: THF riboswitch presents a pseudoknot that joins P1-P2 and the loop of P3 and two THF binding. The record is from RNAcentral.